RNAcentral lists this small RNA (132 nucleotides) under Pantoea deleyi. RNAcentral describes it as "RtT sRNA". It matches the Rfam family "RtT RNA". Rfam says of the family: This family represents a bacterial cis-regulatory element known as RtT RNA. The exact function of RtT is unknown although it is thought that it may be involved in changing the cellular response in relation to amino acid starvation. Lineage: Bacteria; Pseudomonadati; Pseudomonadota; Gammaproteobacteria; Enterobacterales; Erwiniaceae. The record is from RNAcentral.
GCACAGUGAUAACCGUGCAGGAUGAGAACCUGCAGCAGGUCCGACUGAAUCGCCUGCGAUUCAGGCUGAGGCGAAAGCCUCACCCGCAGGGCGAGGCCCGGCGGGCCGAUGGCCAUCCUGCACGACCCACCC